GAGUUUGAUCCUGGCUCAGAUUGAACGCUGGCGGCGUGCUUAACACAUGCAAGUCGAGCGGCAGCGCGGUAGCAAUACUGGCGGCGAGCGGCGAACGGGUGAGUAAUGCUUCGGAAUCUUCCUCGUAGUGGGGAAUAACCUGGGGAAACUCAGGCUAAUACCGCAUACGAACUACGGUUGAAAGCAGGGGAUCGCAAGACCUUGCGCUAUGAGAUGAGCCGAAGUCGGAUUAGCUAGUUGGUAGGUAACGGCCUACCAAGGCGACGAUCCGUAGCUGGUCUGAGAGGACGACCAGCCACACUGGGACUGAGACACGGCCCAGACUCCUACGGGAGGCAGCAGUGGGGAAUAUUGGACAAUGGGGGCAACCCUGAUCCAGCGACGCCGCGUGUGUGAAGAAGGCCUGCGGGUUGUAAAGCACUUUUAGUGGGGAUGAAAAGCCGAAGGCUAAUACCUUUCGGUCUUGACCUAACCCAAAGAAAAGCACCGGCUAACUCUGUGCCAGCCGCCG
Molecule: ribosomal RNA, 511 nt
Filed under: uncultured Gammaproteobacteria bacterium
Lineage: Bacteria; Pseudomonadati; Pseudomonadota; Gammaproteobacteria
Description: bacterial SSU rRNA
Rfam family: Bacterial small subunit ribosomal RNA
Source: RNAcentral